Molecule: long non-coding RNA, 366 nt
Organism: Cotesia glomerata
Lineage: Eukaryota; Metazoa; Arthropoda; Insecta; Hymenoptera; Braconidae
Exons: 3
Source: RefSeq, a predicted model, not a curated record
UGGACUAAAAUUUAUCUAAUCUGUAAAUGUGUCAUUUGUUCCCAAAUUUGUGGAUGUAUUGACGUUGUCCAUAACAUGAAUACAUACGUCACACAAAUACUCUGUCAUAGCUUGAGUUGAGUGAUAAUUUAUUUUCCGUUACUUCUUUAGUUAUUUCUACGAUAGUAUAUUUGUAAUACGGUAGUUUGAACGACAAAACGAAGAAUGGUGCUGAAAAUAAUAAAAAAAUUAACCAAACAAAAAUACCAUUCAUUUUUGGAACGAGGAUCUAUAUUAUUUUUUUUCAUUAUAUAUUUGUCUUCAUGUAAUAGAUUUCCGACCCAAAUUGAAAAUGUUUACCGUACUUUAGAAUGCAAUAAGACUGGU